Molecule: long non-coding RNA, 403 nt
Organism: Andrographis paniculata
Lineage: Eukaryota; Viridiplantae; Streptophyta; Magnoliopsida; Lamiales; Acanthaceae
Exons: 3
Source: RefSeq, a predicted model, not a curated record
GCCCAAUAAACGAAGGAGAGAUGCUGGACCGGCCGAACCGGAUCCCCAAUUCUAGCGAAGAAGUUACAGAACCCUAAACUGGUUAUUGUUCGCUGUGAUCUGGAAAGACUGAUGUUUGUUCUUCGCAAGGGAAAUAUUUCAUUCUGCUAUGUGUUCAAUUGCUUUGGUAGCUGGUUCUGGAUCUCUCUAUCAGCUUGUGUGCUGCAAGGAUCAUUGUUCUUGCUGUCCAUCUGAUUAUGGCUAUAUGGUUCAAGCAUCGCUUGCUAAAAUCCUAGCAAAACUCAAAUUUCUCCCCUCUUCCUAGCAAUCACAGCAUAUAUCAUUGCUGUCACCAAAUGGGAAUCUAAAUUUGAGAAGCCAUUUUCAAAGAAAAGCUUCUGUAGGUAAUCUUGUGUUAUUUUAU